RNAcentral lists this ribosomal RNA (487 nucleotides) under uncultured bacterium. RNAcentral describes it as "partial 16S ribosomal RNA". It matches the Rfam family "Bacterial small subunit ribosomal RNA", at positions 30 to 506 of the family's 1533-position model. The record is from RNAcentral.
AUUGAACGCUGGCGGCAUGCCUUACACAUGCAAGUCGAACGGCAGCAUGGGUGCUUGCACCUGAUGGCGAGUGGCGAACGGGUGAGUAAUGCAUCGGAACGUACCCGGAAGUGGGGGAUAACGUAGCGAAAGUUACGCUAAUACCGCAUAUUCUGUGAGCAGGAAAGCGGGGGAUCGCAAGACCUCGCGCUUCCGGAGCGGCCGAUGUCGGAUUAGCUAGUUGGCGGGGUAAAGGCCCACCAAGGCAACGAUCCGUAGCGGGUCUGAGAGGAUGAUCCGCCACACUGGGACUGAGACACGGUCCAGACUCCUACGGGAGGCAGCAGUGGGGAAUUUUGGACAAUGGGCGCAAGCCUGAUCCAGCAAUGCCGCGUGCAGGAUGAAGGCCUCGGUUGUAACUAGCUUUGUUCUAGGGAAGAACGACUCUGGGCUAAUACCCUCGGGUAAGUGACGGUACCUCGAAGAAUAAGCACCGGCCUAACUACGU